CAAAAACAAAGGUUCACGACACUCACAGAUGAGACCCAAGUACCUCAUCGGGUUGGGUUUCAAGAAGCAGAAGCAGGUGAAUUUGAGGUCUUUCAUUCUACCACAUCGACUUCCUUUUCCCAGUGAGAGAAGGACUGGGAGAGAAGACAGGAAGGAUUCUUGAAAGAUUCAUCUUCUGCUCUUGUCUUUCAUGGCCAUCCAUUCAUUCAGUUAGUAAUUUAUUCACAAACCAUGUCUACUGUGGGUCUGGUACCAUCCAAAGCCCUGGGAUGUAGAAGUCACCGUGUUCCUGGUGUUACUCGCUUACUCUGCGUCAGGUGUUGGGAGGGGAGAUCGACUGUAUAGAAAACACAGGAUAUCCUAGAAUGAAGACGAUAAUUGUACGGACACAGUAUUGCUGUUGUGGAGAUUAACGGAGCUUGCCUGUGUCAGCUGCUUCCCACCGUGCGGGGGCCCAUCAUGGGAGGCGGGGCCAGUGGUUGAUAAAAGGAUAAUGGUAACAGCAUCGGCUAGCGCUUACCACAGUGCUAAUGUUAGCUCUCCCUGGUGGUGUGCGGACGCCAGUUAUGCUAAGAAUGCCAAAUCUGGAAAUCAGAAGACCCCAGUUCGAGUCCUGGCUAGCUGCUUGAUAUUCACCCAAAAGCCUUGAGCUUCAGUCUCCUGUCUGUAAAAUGGAGCUAAUGAUACCCGCCUCGCAAAGUUGUUGUAAUUCAAGUGUGCACACCGAGGGCCAGGUGGUGGUGUCCACCUGCCUGAGAGCGAGUAGUCAAGAGAGAAGUGCCACUCUGACUUGCUUCUCCCCUGGACUUGGGGCUGACUGCAGCCUCGGCUGGGCAUUGCCCUGUACCACACACGUUUUCUGGACUUUUCCAACUCUUCUUCUCCGUCACAGUAUGCCUGAUGAUGUCCCUCUCUGCGGGGUCCUGUUUCCUGCCAGGUGUCAGCAAGAUGAUCCAGCUAAUGGAUUCUCCCUCUAGGUUGGCAUCUGUACUGCCACAGAGAGGCCGUCUGCAGGUGAUGCCUUUGCCAGAGAAGUGACCCUCAUGGAGCGAGUUUGCAGGCAAUGGGAGGGACCCGGUAGUGAUGUCACUUACAUGCUGUCUGUCAGCAGCCGCCUGUUUACAGAAAAGAAGCUCUUCCAAUAUGCCCAUCCCUCGACUCCAUUCCCCACUCACAAAACUCAGAAAGCUUUUCUUGGAGGACAGAAAAUAUAUCUCUUAGUGAAUUAAUCGAUUCAUCCAACAUUUCCUGAGCUCCUUGCAAAACCAUAAUGAUAAUUGUCACUCAUUAAGCAACUACUAUGUACGGAACUUUGUACUUGGUGCUUUAUGUAUAUUAUUUUAUUCAAUUUCACAACCACCUUACAAGUGAAGAGGUAAGUUUUCUUUUAAUGUGGUAAAAUACACAUAGCAUUUACCAUCUUGACCAUUUAAAAUUUUUUA
This is a long non-coding RNA of Suricata suricatta (meerkat), 1442 nucleotides long. RefSeq lists it as uncharacterized. The record is from RefSeq and is a predicted model, not a curated record. NCBI's taxonomy places the organism in Eukaryota, Metazoa, Chordata, Mammalia, Carnivora, Herpestidae. The transcript is spliced from 3 exons.